RNAcentral lists this small RNA (254 nucleotides) under uncultured Lachnospiraceae bacterium. RNAcentral's name for it is "contains 16S-23S intergenic spacer region". It matches the Rfam family "Bacterial small subunit ribosomal RNA", at positions 524 to 776 of the family's 1533-position model. The record is from RNAcentral. Lineage: Bacteria; Bacillati; Bacillota; Clostridia; Lachnospirales; Lachnospiraceae.
UACGUAGGGGGCAAGCGUUAUCCGGAAUUACUGGGUGUAAAGGGAGCGUAGGCGGCAUGUCAAGCCAGAUGUGAAAGCCCGGGGCUUAACCCCGUGGAUUGCAUUUGGAACUGGCAAGCUAGAGUACAGGAGAGGAAAGCGGAAUUCCUAGUGUAGCGGUGAAAUGCGUAGAUAUUAGGAAGAACACCAGUGGCGAAGGCGGCUUUCUGGACUGAAACUGACGCUGAGGCUCGAAAGCGUGGGGAGCAAACAGG